Molecule: ribosomal RNA, 380 nt
Filed under: uncultured eukaryote
Lineage: Eukaryota
Description: partial 18S ribosomal RNA
Rfam family: Eukaryotic small subunit ribosomal RNA
Source: RNAcentral
CAAUAGCGUAUAUUAAAGUUGUUGCAGUUAGAACGCUCGUAGUCGGAUUUCGGGGCGGGCCGACCGGUCUGCCGAUGGGUAUGCACUGGUCGGCGCGUCCUUCCUUCCGGAGACCGUCCCUACUCUUAACUGAGCGGGGGCGGGUGACGGGACUUUUACUUUGAAAAAAUCAGAGUGUUUCAAGCAGGCAGCUCGCUCUUGCAUGGAUUAGCAUGGGAUAAUGAAAUAGGACUUUGGUGCUAUUUUGUUGGUUUCGAACACCGAAGUAAUGAUGAGAAGGGACAGUCAGGGGCACUCGUAUUCCGCCGAGAGAGGUGAAAUUCUCAGACCAGCGGAAGACGAACCACUGCGAAAGCAUUUGCCAGGGAUGUUUUCACUGA